Molecule: ribosomal RNA, 374 nt
Filed under: uncultured bacterium
Lineage: Bacteria
Description: bacterial SSU rRNA
Rfam family: Bacterial small subunit ribosomal RNA
Source: RNAcentral
GACGAACCGUGCGAACGUUGUUCGGAAUCACUGGGCUUAAAGGGCGCGUAGGCGGCCAUUCAAGUCCGGGGUGAAAGCCUCCAGCUCAACUGGAGAAGUGCCUUGGAUACUGGAUGGCUCGAGGGCGGUAGGGGCAGCUGGAACUUCCGGUGGAGCGGUGAAAUGCGUUGAUAUCGGAAGGAACGCCGGUGGCGAAAGCGGGCUGCUGGACCUCUUCUGACGCUGAGGCGCGAAAGCCAGGGGAGAGAACGGGAUUAGAUACCCCGGUAUUCCUGGCCCUAAACGAUGGGUACUAGAUUGUAGGCUUACAUGGGCUUACAGUCGAAGCAAAAGUGAUAAGUACCCCGCCUGGGGAGUAUGGUCGCAAGGCUGAA